Long non-coding RNA from Hypanus sabinus (Atlantic stingray), 1175 nucleotides. RefSeq lists it as uncharacterized. NCBI's taxonomy places the organism in Eukaryota, Metazoa, Chordata, Chondrichthyes, Myliobatiformes, Dasyatidae. The transcript has 3 exons. The record is from RefSeq and is a predicted model, not a curated record.
AAUCAGUUAGGAUACUUUCCACUGUGCAUCUAUAGAAGUUUGUCAAAGCUUUGGGUGACAUGCCAAAUGCAAGGAGGAACCAAUUUUCACCAGACGAUAAGCUUGAUAUUCCAGGCUGGUAGCAGUUUGCAAGAAGGUCUUCUCCUCCUUCCUCUUAAAUAGGACCUCUAUGUAUUCCUGAUGCAUGGACCUGAGGUACUCAACCCCAUCUCAGGCGUAUCUGCUCUCUUACACACUCAUGUGGGACCAGGUACAGAACCUCUUGCUCUCUGCUUCCCUCUUGAGUAAGGACAGAAAGUGAAAGAAACCGUCGAUAUUAUGUGAUGUCAAGGUGUGGAUGAAGACCUUAAAGAAGAAAAAGGCAUUUGGCAACUAUGGAGAAAUGAAAACAAGGUAGUCCCUUCAGGACUAUAGGAAUUACAAAAUAUAAUUGGCUCACAAAAUUAAAGGCAAGCUCAUAGCACAUAACAUGGUUAAGGAGAGAACAUAGAAACUGCUGAUAGAUAGGAAUUGAACCCUGAUCUUAUACUGGCACUGUAAAGCAUUAUGCCAACUGCUACACAACUGUACACAGAUAGAGAUAUUAGAUAUCAGGGUAGAUGAAAAUUAUUACAUUUAUAUUUACCACUCAAUGGGGUUUUCUUGAGUCAAACAUGUUACUGAUAUUGUAAAAGCAAACUAUUCAAAAAGAGACAGUGAGGCCUGUAACUGCUGAGGAGUCACGUGGUGAAGCAAAUUGUUGGGCUGACCAGCAGAGGGAGAGGGAAGGCACGGACAGUUUUACCAUCCGGGCUUCAUUAAGGUUAUUAUUUAAUCAGGCUGAAUUGGCAAACUACCUAAAGAGGAAGAAUGUAACCAAAGCCUGCAGGAUGGAGGCUACCCAGAAAGGAAUGUCAGAUAUUGCUCUUCCAACCUCAUAGUGGCAGUAGAAGAGGCCAUGGACUGACAUGUCAGAAUGGAAAUGGGUGGAUGGUGUACUUUCCAUAUGGAGCUUCACUGGUCGAGAGCAUCUACGAGGCGAAAGGUGGAGUGAGGCCCUCAGCACCUUGUUAUGGUGGGACGAUGAGAACCGUGGUUCUUAACAUGGGCCAUACGGACCCCAGGGGGCCACAGUGGAUUUCGUAGGGGCCACAAGUUAAAAACAAGAAACUGGGGGCCAAGGAAAUCCUGAAUGG